This 253-nucleotide ribosomal RNA is filed under the name uncultured bacterium. RNAcentral describes it as "partial 16S ribosomal RNA". It matches the Rfam family "Bacterial small subunit ribosomal RNA", at positions 524 to 776 of the family's 1533-position model. The record is from RNAcentral.
UACGUAGGGGGCUAGCGUUGUCCGGAAUCAUUGGGCGUAAAGCGCGUGUAGGCGGUCCGGUAAGUCCGCUGUGAAAGUCGGGGGCUCAACCCUCGAAUGCCGGUGGAUACUGUCGGGCUAGAGUGCGGAAGAGGCGAGUGGAAUUCCUGGUGUAGCGGUGAAAUGCGCAGAUAUCAGGAGGAACACCGAUUGCGAAGGCAGCUCGCUGGGACGUUACUGACGCCGAGACGCGAAAGCGUGGGGAGCAAACAGG